Molecule: ribosomal RNA, 774 nt
Filed under: uncultured Neocallimastigales
Lineage: Eukaryota; Fungi; Neocallimastigomycota; Neocallimastigomycetes; Neocallimastigales
Description: partial large subunit ribosomal RNA
Rfam family: Eukaryotic large subunit ribosomal RNA
Source: RNAcentral
UAUCUCUGUAGAGUCUGCAUAUCAAUAAGCGGAGGAAAAGAAACUAACAAGGAUUCCCCUAGUAACGGCGAGUGAAGCGGGAAGAGCUCAAAUUUGAAAUCUUCAAGGUUUGACCUUGACGAAUUGUAGUUUAAAGAAGUGUUUUCUGUUAGAUGAGUAGCAAAAGUUCCUUGGAAUGGGACGUCAUAGAGGGUGAGAAUCCCGUAUUUGGUUAUUCAUUCUAGCUUUGUGAUACACUUUCAAAGAGUCGGAUUGUUUGGGAAUGCAGUCCAAAAUGGGUGGUAAACUUCAUCUAAAGCUAAAUAUUGGCGAGAGACCGAUAGCGAACAUGUACCGUGAGGGAAAGAUGAAAAGAACUUUGAAAAGAGAGUUAAACAGUACGUGAAAUUGUCAAAAGGGAAGCGUUUGACACCAGUGUUGUUUUUCCGAAAAUCAAUUACGAAUGGCUUGAUUUUGUGUUGUAUUGACCUUAUCAGCUUUCUUCACUUUUUUCGAGUCUUUCUUAAUGCACUUUUCGGUUAACAAGUCAACAUCAAUUUCUUUUGUUGUAAAAGAGUAUUCGGAAGGUGGCUUUCUUUUCGGAGAAAGUGUUUAUAGCCCUAUACUUCUACAAUCGGAGAGAUUGAGGUCUGCAGCGUAGAUCCUUCGGGGCUAGAUACACUUGUGCUAAGUUGUAGCUUUUCAUAGACAACUUGUUGACUAUGUUUAGUCAUGCGGCUUACUCGCUUGUGCUAUUUUACCUACGCUUAGGAUGUUGACUGAUAUGUAGUCGUA